Molecule: ribosomal RNA, 697 nt
Filed under: uncultured bacterium
Lineage: Bacteria
Description: bacterial SSU rRNA
Rfam family: Bacterial small subunit ribosomal RNA
Source: RNAcentral
AGUGGCGAACGGGUGAGUAACACGUGGGCAACCUGCCCAAAAGAGGGGGAUAACACUUGGAAACAGGUGCGUAAUACCGCAUAACCAUAGGGUUACCGCAUGGUAACUAUGUAAAAGGUGGCUAUACUACCGCUUUUGGAUGGGCCCGCGGCGCAUUAGCUAGUUGGUAGGGUAAAGGCUUACCAAGGCAAUGAUGCGUAGCCGAAUUGAGAGGUUGAUCGGCCACAUUGGGACUGAGACACGGCCCAAACUCCUACGGGAGGCAGCAGUAGGGAAUCUUCCACAAUGGGCGAAAGCCUGAUGGAGCAACGCCGCGUGGGUGAAGAAGGUCUUCGGAUCGUAAAACCCUGUUGUUAGAGAAGAAAGUGCGUGAGAGUAACUGUUCACGUUUCGACGGUAUCUAACCAGAAAGCCACGGCUAACUACGUGCCAGCAGCCGCGGUAAUACGUAGGUGGCAAGCGUUAUCCGGAUUUAUUGGGCGUAAAGGGAACGCAGGCGGUCUUUUAAGUCUGAUGUGAAAGCCUUCGNCUUAACCGGAGUAGUGCAUUGGAAACUGGGAGACUUGAGUGCAGAAAGGAGAGUGAACUCCAUGUGUAGCGGUGAAAUGCGUAGAUAUAUGGAAGACACCAGUGGCGAAGCAGCUCUCUGUCUGUACUGACGCUGAGUUCGAAGCUGGUAGAACAGAUANUCCCUGUA